Molecule: long non-coding RNA, 568 nt
Organism: Balaenoptera ricei (Rice's whale)
Lineage: Eukaryota; Metazoa; Chordata; Mammalia; Artiodactyla; Balaenopteridae
Exons: 3
Source: RefSeq, a predicted model, not a curated record
GUGAGAGAGUCCAGGCCACGGAACCUGCCCAGGCCAGAUCCACAGCCAAGUCCACCGCCGGGUCCUAAGAAGGCUCAGCUUCCCAGGGAUCACGUGUAUCACGGAGACCGCCACAUUCUUAGCCCUUCACCCCGCCAAAAGGCCUCAUGAGAAAAUGCGAAUGACCACGUGAGGGCGCUAUUACCUCACAAUUUUCCUGCAAAAACUGCCCUCUGCUAACAGGGAUGUCCCCCAUCGCUUUUGUUUCUGCGGCUCAGCCAAGGGAUGCCUCUGGGAAAGAGGGUGACACACACUCCCGGAUCUGCAUUAAUAUGGAAGAGCAGAGAUAAGAAAGCCAAGGUUCAGAUAAUUCAGUAAUUUUUCCAAGUCACACAUUAAGACAGAAAUCCAGGAUUCAGGUCCAGUGUGAAGAAAAUCAUCAUUGGGACUUUCAACUAUAUCACUCUACCUAACUGUACUCUUAGCCUGGGCGCCGAAGAAAAAAGUCUUUAGCAUAUGUUUAGUGCCCUGAGAUCUUCAGCUCCAGGCAAUAGUGUGCUGGUAAAUAUGGGGGAAAACAUAUGCAUAA